Molecule: ribosomal RNA, 506 nt
Filed under: uncultured bacterium
Lineage: Bacteria
Description: bacterial SSU rRNA
Rfam family: Bacterial small subunit ribosomal RNA
Source: RNAcentral
UAGUCCACGCCCUAAACGAUGCUUACUAGAAGUAUGGAUUUACUUUAUGCUUCUAAGGGAAACCGAUAAGUAAGCCACCUGGGGAGUACGUUCGCAAGAAUGAAACUCAAAGGAAUUGACGGGGGCCCGCACAAGCGGUGGAGCAUGUGGUUUAAUUCGAUGAUACGCGAGGAACCUUACCAGGGCUUAAAUGUAGUAUGACAGGUUUAGAGAUAGACUUUUCUUCGGACAUAUUACAAGGUGCUGCAUGGUUGUCGUCAGCUCGUGCCGUGAGGUGUCAGGUUAAGUCCUAUAACGAGCGCAACCCCUGUCGUUAGUUGCCAGCAAGUAAAGUUGGGGACUCUAACGAGACUGCCUACGCAAGUAGAGAGGAAGGUGGGGAUGACGUCAAAUCAUCACGGCCCUUACGUCCUGGGCCACACACGUGCUACAAUGGUAUGGACAAUGAGCAGCCAUCUGGCAACAGAGAGCGAAUCUAUAAACCAUAUCACAGUUCGGAUCGGAGU